GUGUUUGUGGUGUAAUGGCAGCAUAAGAAGUUUCACCAACUGCUUGGUGCGGGUUCGAUUCCCGUCGAACACU
Molecule: transfer RNA, 73 nt
Filed under: Actinomycetales bacterium
Lineage: Bacteria; Bacillati; Actinomycetota; Actinomycetes; Actinomycetales
Description: tRNA-Val
Rfam family: tRNA
About the family: Transfer RNA (tRNA) molecules are approximately 80 nucleotides in length. Their secondary structure includes four short double-helical elements and three loops (D, anti-codon, and T loops).
Source: RNAcentral